This 996-nucleotide long non-coding RNA is filed under the name Eucalyptus grandis. Its description in RNAcentral is "long non-coding RNA (EGRA_LNC000516)". Lineage: Eukaryota; Viridiplantae; Streptophyta; Magnoliopsida; Myrtales; Myrtaceae. The record is from RNAcentral.
CAAAAUCUCUCAGUAGGAUCAAAUGCAAACACUGUCAAGUUAGGCAACUAAUGUGCUUACAUUUAUCUUUUGCAACUUUACAAAAAAAAAAAAAAAAACAAAAACAAAAACAAAAGGCUAUUUAUUUUGGUAGGCGUACUGAUAUGCUCUAAACUGUUUUUUUUUUUUUUAAGUGAUAGGAUUUAAAACAGGUGUUUUCAAGUUGGUGAAUAUGACAACAAAAUUUGAUUGAGCCCUGCAGUAUAAGCCAUUUAAAUCUGAGUUCCUUGUUAAAGUUCAUCAUUCAUCUUUCUCCUAUUCAACUUCCCACACCAUCUCAGAGCACAUUUUCUUUUUCUUUAUUGUUGGGAAAAGGCGGAAAGGAGCAAUAAGGAAGACUAUGAUUUGUCCAAAUUCUGGGAUAUUUCUAUGCAAGAUUCUGAAAGAUCAAUGCUCAAAACUCGCUGGCAACUAUUGGCCCCUCAUCCAAGAGAUCCCUCCCUUCUACAUUGAUGGUGUUCAAAUCCAAUGAAUUGAAAUUGAUCACACCCAAGCCAUGAAAAAUGAUUUAUCUCCAUUGACUACUUUUCCUUCUUCAGGUAAUUCUUAUAACUUCUUCCAUUCGUUUGCUUCCAUUUGCUAUCUGCCACAAUUCGUUGUUCCACCUAAAGUCAGCUUUCUGGGGUUGGGGUCAAUAUUUUGGGUUUGAAGGUAUCAAUUUCUAUUAUGUUCUUCAGUUUGAUGCUUAAUGCAGAUUGAUUUUUUCCCUGUUUCAUUUCUGGCCAUAAUCCCAAUGACAGCAUGUUUAGUUCCUCCAACGUAAGAGCCAUCACAGUUAAUCUUCACAAAACCUAGCUCAGGUUUACUCUACACACCUUGCCUUUCGUCCACCCAAUCAUGACCCAGCUCUCCUACAUUUUUACAAGAAACGCAGUUUGAAAGUGCUUUUUUAAUCUGUAGGAGUGACAGUUUCAGGAUCAAGUGAUUUAUGGUCGAAGAUUACUGCAUUUCUAGCAU